This 73-nucleotide transfer RNA is filed under the name Stereum hirsutum FP-91666 SS1. Its description in RNAcentral is "tRNA-Ile (AAT) (tRNA-Ile-AAT-9-1)". It matches the Rfam family "tRNA". From Rfam's summary of the family: Transfer RNA (tRNA) molecules are approximately 80 nucleotides in length. Their secondary structure includes four short double-helical elements and three loops (D, anti-codon, and T loops). Lineage: Eukaryota; Fungi; Basidiomycota; Agaricomycetes; Russulales; Stereaceae. The record is from RNAcentral.
GGACGUGUGGUGUACUUGGUUAACACAUUCGCCCAAUAUGCGAAAGUAUCCGGUUCGAUUCCGGGCAUGUCCU